ACCGAGCUGGGCGCGGGCCCCUUCCCGCACGGAGCUGGGCACGGGCCCUUCCUGCACGGAGCCCGCCGUCGCUGCAACACCAGCUCGAACUUUGCGUGGUGAUCCAGAUGCAUCCAGAUUCCAAAGACUCUGCUCCGGCAGAGUUACAAGAACAAAGCACCUGUUCCCCUAGCAGAUUUCUCAGUUCGUACUUGAAGUUGCUGUCACCUUUGGUUGCAAGUAUUUAAGAACUGCUGCACACUUCAGAUCUGCCCAGUCUUCUGUCUCAACAAUGGCUAGAGACAAAUGCAUUGGAAAGAGUAACAGAAGACUAUGUACAGGGACAUGUUUUUCCUUGUAGUCUCCUGAACCCCCAGCCAUUUUCAGAAUUGGGCAUUUCCUGGAACCUCCCAGGCUAACAUAAGGAAGAGGCUGUGGAAGAGAACAUCACCCUUUCUGGAAAAGAGCCUGGAAACACUUCCUACAGAUGGCAGCCUAGUUUGUUCCAAACACUCUGUUUGUUCUUCAAAGCAUCUGAGAGCAAGACGACGUGCUGGAGCUUUAUCUGGGACUUGGGUGACCUCACGUAUGGGAGGUAACUCUUUGCACCUACUCAGUCUGAAAGUUUCAGAACAGAGUUCUGGAAAAUGAUGAUGACAUUGGUUUCCCAAGAUAUAACUGAAGUAAAUUACUCAAUUUAGUGUAAUUUGGACCCUGAUUCUACCUUUGUAUUUAAUGGCAGUUCCAAUUAUUAUCUGCAUUUGGAUACCAAGCCUGGAAGACUUGCUGGUUACAGGAGGAGAUGGGAGAUCCAUCACACUUAAAAGUGGUGACCAACUCACCAAGGCCAGCUGACAGGACUGCUCUAAGGGAAGGCAGCACUGCAGCACGAAAUGGAUCUGCUGGGUUUGCAUAUUUCCUGAGCACACUUCAUCCUAAAAGCAGCCUGAGCUGCAAGUAGAACAGCUCUCCCCUCCAAGACCACAGGAGGAUGAGAGUGAAGAAAAAAAAAAGCAUUUUCUUAUUUUAGAUAGAAUUCUUAUUACCAUGGCACCUAAAAGAUCCCUUCAUGAAUAGAACCCACUCUGAUGAGUGCCUCAAAAAAUGUCCCCUAAAUCACAUCCAAGUCCUUAGGAGUCAAAGUCAUUAUACACAUCCAGAGUAUUAUCAUUGUUUUUAUUAUUGCUGUUGUUGUUGUUGUUAAUACUGGUAUAAUUCGACUGGAUUCCAAGGUACGUAGUAGCUACUAAGUGGCACUAACAGAAUCGUAAAUCCAGAUUUUAACACAAGGUGCUCUCUAUUAUUUUCCUCUUCUCUCUGCUCUGAUCCACUUCUAAUCUAAAUUUCCUCUUUCAUUUGAGGAAAAAAAAAAAAUCAGGCUGGAUUUAGAUCAGAUAUAAGGAAUAAUUUUUUGCAGUGAGAGUGAUGAGGCAUUGGCACUGCCCCCAGAGAGGUGGUGGAUUCUUAAUCCCUGGGAGCAUUUAAGGUAGAUUGGGGCUCUGAGAAACCUGAUCUAGUCGAUGUCCCUGCUCAUUGCAAAGCAAUUGGACUAAAUGACCUUUAAAAAUCCCUUCCAAAUCAAACUAUUCUAAGAUUUUUUCAUCCCAGUUGAGCUGAAAAGCCACAUAACCUCUGCCAUCCUUAUGAUUUUCAUAUUUACUGAAAACUAUGCAAAAGGAAUCAGUAGAAUAGAAUCUCCCAAGUGGAGAAAAAAGAUUUGGCAUAUUUCAGUGUGAGCUUUCCUGAGCGUAUUCCUUUUCUGUUCCUGCAGCUAAGCAGAGGCAGAAGGUAAAAGAUGAAGACCCAGAAGUAAAUUCCAGCUAAUAAAAAAGAGACUUUUAGUUGACUUAGGAAGUUUCUUUGCCAGUUGCCUCUAGCAAAAGAGAAUUAUUAUAUUCCCAGUGAAACAUUAUUAUCAGGUGGAUUCUUAACAGAAAGACUCCUCAAGCCCUGAAGGCAGACAGUCUAUAAAAUUUGAAAUCUUAGAACUACUGGCUAAGGCGAUAGCUAUUAUCUUCUUUUUUUAUUUUCUUUUUUUUUUUUUUUUUCCUUGAAGAGGAAAGGAGGAAAAUCUAGGUAAAACAGAUAUUUAAGACUUGUGUGUCUGACAUUUCUCAUUUCUCAUAACAACGGAUGCUCAUUUUCAUAUCUUCACAUUCAGACUCUUUUCCUAUGAUACCUCUGAUUUGAAAAAUAGAAAGAUUAACAGUUAUCCAUGCCCUGUUGCCCAGUCUAACUGUUUAAACAGAUGUCCUGAGCUUGUAUUUCCUUCAAAAAUUACUUUUACCCAUUAAUGAAAUGCUCUGAGAAACUACAUUACUAAGAUUUGCAGCAUGAGUUUUUUAAAUUUUUUGAACUGAUGCUGUCAUCAUGUUUCACAAAACCUUUUUAUUCUGUCUUUGAAGUUUGUGUUUGGAGAGCAUGUGAAAUGAGACCAAUCAGUCUAGGAAAAAAUUUUUUUCUUUAUCUUUGCCCAGUGUCAUGCAAGUUGGUAAGUGAUAAAUGAUCCUAGAAGACAUGUUUAACUACUUUAUUCAGAGAGCAACAUGGCUGUAUUACCAAUAUACUUACUUUUCUAAGUGCAUUGAUGUGAAAAAAGUGAGAAAAUUUUCUGAGGAAUCAUGCUCAGCACAGAAAAAAUUUAAGAACAGCAUUGUACUUUUUCCAAAUCUGAACUAAAAUAAAUACAUAAGACUUGGAAAUGUAACUUUGCUAGCAAAAUUUCAAAGUAAAUCAGAGGGUUUACAUUCAUUUCUCUAAAAUAUCUGGAAGAUUGUCAGGUAGAGAUUUCAAAUUCCAGCUACUUGCAUUGACCUAUCUAUAAGCUUUGUGAUAUAUUCUACUUAAAAGACUUCUUGAAACUGUGUAAAGAUCCUGUGCUAACCUAUCCCAUACAGAGUUAAAUACAAAGUGAAAUAAAGAAAUAUUUAAGUUCUUGUUAAUCACAAGUAAAAGGAAAGACAGAACAAAACCACUAAAGUCCUCUACCUCUAGUAUUGAUUCCGCAGUUUUGCUUACACAUUGGUUUAGUGUACGUGGUAAUACAGGAAUCUAUUUGUUAAGAAUAAUCUGGGUAUGAAAAAUAGAGCACCAUAAGUCUCACUGUUCUGUGGACAUCUCUGGGAAGAAUAUGAAAAUUUCCAUCCUCUGAUAAAAAAACAUACAGAAGCAACAUAUAUGGAUGCAAAUCUUCCCAAAGAUUAGUACAAUUUGUUUCAUAAUACAUUUGUGUAUAAUGUGAUUUUUGUUUUUCACUAGAGGAGAAGAUGGGAGGGACCAUAAUUCUGGCUACUGCUGCAGUUAAGACCUUUUCAUUUCCUGCUUCGCCUAUAGCCUAUACAUAGGGUUUGAGUUUACAGGAAAACAUGUACUAAAAAUGAUACAAAGCUUUUUUCUUUCACAUGAAGAUACUGAAGGUAUGCCUGUAAACACUAAGUUAACAUGCAAAGGUAGUUUUGUAUACUCUUGACAUCAAAUAUCUACAAAGUCUCCUGGGUAGCAAGGGUAGUAUUUUGUGUUUUACAGCAAUUGUACUCCUAAAGAUUCUAGAUUUUGAAAGCAGUCUGGACUGUGAGAUCCUAUAGUCUGUCCUACUGUCCUGCUCUUUAUCAAUAUAACACUUUACUUCAUUCUACUCUUUUUUUUUUUCCUUUAAUAAAUGAAAUAGCAUGAGUUCAGCUAUUAUUAAACAUCUUGAGUUUGCUAAGCUUUAUUUUUCAGACACUAUUUUUGAUCUGAAAUAUAGAGGACAGGGACUCAAAUAAUUCUCUAGGUAGUUUGUUCCUACAAUUAACCACCAUAGACUUAAAAUGUAGUAAUAUUUUUUUUCCUUGGUUUCAGCUUUUUGACAGUGGUUCUCUUAUGCCUUUCUCUUUGACAUGAUUGAGCCAUUUAGUGUGUCAUGGAAGACAUCACUAAUUCUUUAUGAUAACACACGGGCAAAGAUCAUUGAGUCUGCCACAGACAUUCUCUUCAGAAAUGUUUUACUGCUAUUUUCUAUUACAUGCUACCAAUUUUAUACCAUUUUUAAUGAAUAUGCAAAUUUUAUUUAUUAUUCCAGUACAAUUCCUUCUCAAUAUCACAUGAGGGAAAAUUAUUUUUCUAUUCCAAUUCACUACUCCUGAACAAAUCAACCCUUUAGCUGUUGUCACUUGUGUACUCGUAGUUCAUUUCUCUUUUCACUAGAUUUCAGGCACUGCCUUUCAGUUGACUGUCUGUUAAACAGGAUCCAAGAUUAUUAAAAGCUUAAAGGUGUAUCUUACUAGACCUUUUCAUACAGUGAACUCCCCAAAGGAGAUCAAAAGGCUUUUAAACUAAAAAAGUCAGGCUUUAAAAUUACAUAAACUAGUUUCCCAAAUUUUUUAGGCAGAGAAAACUGAAAUAAAGAGAAUAUAUAAACCAUUGUCUUGCUCUGCUGCUUUGCAGACUUGUCGUGUUAUCCAAUGUUUGUUUUACUCAAAUCACUGACCUUCCAAAUUGCAUCUAUCUUACAUCUCACUUAUCUGUGGUUGCAGGAAAUUUUUUUCAUCAUCUUGGUGACCUGGUAUCUGCUUUCUGUCUCUUACCAGUUUCUAGUGUUUCCUUGGAGCUUCAGUACCUCAACUCCAGGCAGUCUUCCUUGUGCCUCUUCAACCCUACAAGUUUCUUUCCUUGAUUGGGUUCUAGAAGCUUCACAAAGAAAGGAGAAAUGCCAGUUCUGUCUGCACCUACUCUUAGGAGAGGCACAUAAAAAACCUGGAAGCAGAGACGCAAUGUAACUGACUAUCACUUUUACCUUCAGUAACUAUAAUUUUUUCCUUGCUUGAUGGGUACUUUUAAAUUUGGCUGACUUAGAACCAUUAGUUUUGAUUAGAUCAAGUUUACUAAGCCAUCUACUUAGCUGUCUCUUAGGAGGCUGAACAAGUGGACAUUGCUUUCCAGAGUGAUGUGAGUAGCUCAGCUGAGCCAGAACACCAUUGCUCCAGUGAGAACUUGCUUCAAUAUUAAGCCUGAAAUAUAAUAACACCAGCACUAGGUUUUACAAGCUGGCUUAGAAAUUUGUGCAUAAACAGUUAUGCUUUAAGAUAAUACAGAGGUUUGUGUAAACAGCUGACAAAUGUGCCUAGUAUAUGUGUAAGACAUUGUUAUUUCUCUGUCCUGUUUUAUUAGGCUGUAUUUUUGGGGUUUUUGUUUUGUUUUGUUUUUUUCCUUAUUGUAAUAUGCUCUAAAUAAAUGCUGUGUCACUAAAAGGUAAACUACUUUAAAAUGUAAGUCAAUACCAUCAGGAAAAUAAGGAGAGGUUUCACCUUUGCAGCUAUAAUGCAUGACCUCUGUAAAUGCAGAAUGAGGAGACUCACUGACAGGCAGAGCACACUGUCGAUGCUAUGCAAUGCAAGAGCUUCAAUAAACAAACCAAGUCAUUCUCAAAACACCCAAACAAAAGAAAAUAAAAUAAUAACACUUUACUAGUAUAAUUCUUCAAUAAAAAUUGAACAGAAUUAGAAGCCAGCCAUAGACACACCCUAUGCUCUAAUUAACUUAGGAGCAUAAGAGAAUUAAUUUUUUUAAUGCAACAAACCCAUUUAUUACAAAACAAGUGACCAUUUACAUUGAUUAUUGUCCUAAUAAUCCAACAAUGUUUUCUAACUCUGUAAAACUUCAUCCUGAGAAUAUUCCAUUUUUAAAAACUGCUGCUUUGGGAAGAUUUGUUUGGAAGUUAAUUUUGUCAUUCACUACGCUGACCCAGUUAUGUUUUAAGAAGUCAGUAAGCAUUGAAACUCUGUUUAAGAAUUACAGGAAGUAUGUUAUUGUAUCAUAUUGACUGAAUGCCUGCUAUGCAAAACAGAAAGAAGAGGAUAAUUAAUUUAUAUUUGUAAUCCUUCCACCUUUAUGAAAAACAUGAAAGUUCUGCUCUACAGGUGAGUCACUCCAGAAGCUCUAAUUAGAUAAAUGCCACUUGUGGUUUAUUUCGAUUAGGAGACUAUAAGUUUGCAUAACUACAAGUUAAAUUUGCAUACAGGAUAAUCUUAAUAUUCCAGAAUUUGUAAGCAUGGUAAGAUUUAAGUAGCAUUUAUUCAAGCACUUCAAUUAACUACUUUUGAUUAUGGAUACAGAUGCUUUGUCAAAUCUUUUUUGCUAAAUCAGUUUGAGAUUUAAUGUCUUAAGUUAUAUUUACAUUAAGAACUUUUGUAGAGGAUCAGCUUCCACUUUUUAGUUUAUGCCCCAGUGGAUUAGUUAUUUUUCACUUGGAUCACAACAGUCCCAUGCAGUACCACAGUCUUGGAGCCGAGUGGCUGGAAAGGGGCUCACUGGGAAAGGACCUGGGAGUGCUGAUUGACAGCAGCUGAGCAUGAGCCAGCGUGUGCCCAGGUGCCCAGGAAGGCCAGUGGCAUCCUGGCCUAUAUCAGCAAUAGUGUGGCCAGCAGGAGCAGGCAGGGAUUGUCCCCCUGCACUCAGCACUGCUGAGGCCACAGCUCCAGUGCUGGGUCCAGUUCUGGGCCCCUCGCUGUGAGAAAGACACUGAGGGGCUGGAGCCAGUCCAGGGAAGGGCAGUGGACCUGGUGAAGGGUCUGAAGCCCAAGUGCUGUGAGGAGCAGCUGAGGGAGCUGGGGGUGUUUAGCCUGGAGAGGAGGAGGCUCAGGGAAGACAUUUUUUCUGACUUCAGCUGCCUGAAAGGAGGCUGGUCAGGUGGAGGUUGGUCUCUCCUCCCAAGUGAGAGGUGACAGGACAAGAGGAAAUGGACUCAAGUUGCACCAGAGAAGGUUUGGAUUAGAUAUUAGGAAGAAUUUCUUUACUGAAAUGGUGGUCAGGUAUUGUAAGAGGCUGCUGAAGGAAGAGGUUGAGCCCCAAUCCUUAAAGUGUUCAAAAGGCGUGUGGAUGCGGCGCUUGGAGAUAUGGUUUAGCAGUGAACACUAUGGUGCUGGGUUAACCAUUAGACUCAAGCAACUUAGCUGUCUUUUCUAAUCUUGAUUCUAUGAUUUCAUGUACGAAGAGCUGGUGUAGAACAUUUUUUUGUUUGUUUGUUGGUUUCUGUUGUGUUUUUCUUUUUAACAAUACGCAAAUGCUCCUUACUUGGAGAAGAGGAUAACCACUAGCUGUGCCAGGGAAAUGCCUAAUGCUACAAUAGUAAUGGAAAUUAAAUUAACAUCUGCAAUAUGAUAGCAGGAGCAGUACUGGAAAAACUCAGAUUUUUUUCAGCGUAGAUCUGUACUAAAUGUUUUAAUUACUGUGCAGAACAAAAAUUUUCUUUUGCUAAUUGUAGGUAGUGGAUACAGAUUGUCUGAAAAUGUGGGUUUUCAUCUUUUCCCAGUAAAGCCUGGCCUGUUGUAGUUCACCUCUCUCUAAAAAUGGUUAAUUCCUGAAAAGCUGACACAGAAUGGCAUUACUUGGCUGUAAUAUACUCAGUACUUAAAUGACUUUCAAACAGUGUAUAAGUUUUAUCAAAUUAAUUGAAUGGGAAAUUGGGUACAAAUUCAUUACAGCAUAGGCAGCUUGACCAUAUAAAGAAGCAGCCUGUAGCAGAAAAUGUCAUAUCUUUAAGGAGGAUUAAGUUACAAUGAGCAUGUUGUUAGAAUACCAUAACAGGAAAGAGAAGGUGCAACGAAAGCUUGUUCCCUGGAGUACAAGGGGCCUGAGUCCAGCUGAACAUGAACAUAAUGUACAUAGACAUAUGUUAAUGUUUAGUGGUGUGUCUAUGCUACCGUCCCUUCAGCAGUGUUCUAGACACCAUAUAGUACAUUCAUCUGUUCACUGCCUGCCAAAUAAAAAGACAAAUUAAUGAUGCUUUAAUCAAAAUGAUGCAUCUUAAUAAAAUUCUAUACAGAGCUUGUAGAGCUUUCAUUUGAGCCAUUUCAAAAAUGUAAAGUUUUUUACGCAGAUCUGUUGUGCUAAGAAUUCCAGCAACAAGGUAUUAAGAAUUAUUGUAUUCUGAAAAAAAGUAAAAAAAAUUAGUCUUUUCUCGUGCAGCAGCAAUGUUACAUAAUAUUGACAAUAUUCAUAAACUGUUUCCUGGAAUUGUCAAAGCCUGAUCAUAUUUCUCAUCAAUUCUGAAUUUAGUUACCUACAUUCAGUACUUCUAGAAACCCCACUAGAUAAUUUCCUGAAGGCAUUUAGACACAUGAGGAUGCAAGCAGACUAGCAUCUGCCAAAUUCCUUCUAGGUUCAAAGGGAUGACCUGAGGUGGAUAUAUGCCUAACACAGUUUUUAAAGUGUUUUCAGAGACUUAUCUUACUUCAGGUAUGCCAAACCACUGAAAAUUCAAUUAUUAACACAGAAAAUUCAAGGAUAUUUUUGAUACAGAAAUCUCUUUGCUAUUUAUCUCAUUUAGCUCAAUUUUCAUUAAAACACAAAUAUAAAUUAAAAAGUAUUUGGAGAUAGCCCAAUUUUAAAUAUCCCUAUUCAUGAUGAAUCAUCUCUUUCAGACACCUAACUUAUCUGUCUAACAACUUUAUCAGCUUGGCAGCAUAUCCUUUUGUUUUAGCUACUUGCAGUAGGUAUUACAGUAAAGAUUUUCCUUUAACUGCUAUACAACAGUGUGUUAACAAAGCAAGUAGCUGAGGACUCAGUUUUUCAGAAUGAUUUUGACACUGAAAAACUGGAAGUUGGCCUGCCUCUUUCUUUGCACAAGCACCUGAGGGAAGUUGAUAGGCAAUGCUAGGCAUGGCAAUUAGCUUACCCAGCAUGAAACUCAAUAGAAGCAGGUGCUGAAGAAAUAUCUGACUAAGAGGAUUUCUCCCUUCUCCUUCCUUCUUACUCCCUGCCACAGCAGCUCAAAGGUGGCACCUAGCCAGGAGUAGAAAGCCUGUCCCAUUUUGUUUACCUCUCUUACAAGAUGUUAUCACUGUUGCUUUUCAAAGCACUCAGCUAAUAAAGUUGUAGAAAGAAGUAAACUUAUGUGCUGGCCUGUGUUUCACCAUCUGUCCUAUGCUAUCAGCUAAGACAGCUGUGGAAGAGUCACUUCAAAAUGCUUUCAGAUUACAUUGUUCUGAACAUCAUUUCUAGGAAACAUAAUAAACAGCAAAAUCCUUUUUUCAUGAGAGGACUCUGAAUGUCUCCUACUAGUCAAACCCUUUCCAUCUGUUGAAGUGUCAGGAAACUGGUUAUCUUUGAGGGAAAAUACAUCUUCACAGACAAAUUAAAUCGUUGUUUAUUUAUAGAUACAUUACCUGCAUUUCUCACACUGCGCCCUUUAUUAACAUGCCUUCAGAUUAUUUUCAAUUGUUUCCUGUUUUGGGACUGAACUUUCUAGACAGUUAUUCAUCUGUCAAAAUCGUAGUCAGUCACUUUACAUUUCUUGUGUAUUUUUUUCUUUCUGUGAUUUCCAG
Molecule: long non-coding RNA, 9281 nt
Organism: Haemorhous mexicanus (house finch)
Lineage: Eukaryota; Metazoa; Chordata; Aves; Passeriformes; Fringillidae
Exons: 3
Source: RefSeq, a predicted model, not a curated record